GAUGAACGCUGGCGGCGUGCCUAAUACAUGCAAGUCGAGCGAACAGACGAGGAGCUUGCUCCUCUGACGUUAGCGGCGGACGGGUGAGUAACACGUGGAUAACCUACCUAUAAGACUGGGAUAACUUCGGGAAACCGGAGCUAAUACCGGAUAAUAUAUUGAACCGCAUGGUUCAAUAGUGAAAGACGGUUUUGCUGUCACUUAUAGAUGGAUCCGCGCCGCAUUAGCUAGUUGGUAAGGUAACGGCUUACCAAGGCGACGAUGCGUAGCCGACCUGAGAGGGUGAUCGGACACACUGGAACUGAGACACGGUCCAGACUCCUACGGGAGGCAGCAGUAGGGAAUCUUCCGCAAGGGGCGAAAGCCUGACGGAGCAACGCCGCGUGAGUGAUGAAGGUCUUCGGAUCGGGAAACUCUGUUAUUAGGGAAGAACAAAUGUGUAAGUAACUAUGCACGUCUUGACGGUACCUAAUCAGAAAGCCACGGCUAACUACGUG
This 497-nucleotide ribosomal RNA is filed under the name uncultured bacterium. Its description in RNAcentral is "partial 16S ribosomal RNA". It matches the Rfam family "Bacterial small subunit ribosomal RNA", at positions 28 to 507 of the family's 1533-position model. The record is from RNAcentral.